AUACUUACCUGGCAGGGGAGAUACCAUGAUCAUGAAGGUGGUUUUUCCAGGGUGAGGCUUAUCCAUUGCAUUCCAGAUGUGCUGACCCCUGCGAUUUCCCCAGAUGUGGGAAACUCGACUGCAUAAUUUGUGGUAGUGGGGGACUGUGUUCGUGCUCUCCCCUG
Molecule: small nuclear RNA, 164 nt
Filed under: Castor canadensis (American beaver)
Lineage: Eukaryota; Metazoa; Chordata; Mammalia; Rodentia; Castoridae
Description: U1 spliceosomal RNA (ENSCCNG00000014597.1)
Rfam family: U1 spliceosomal RNA
About the family: U1 is a small nuclear RNA (snRNA) component of the spliceosome (involved in pre-mRNA splicing). Its 5' end forms complementary base pairs with the 5' splice junction, thus defining the 5' donor site of an intron. There are significant differences in sequence and secondary structure between metazoan and yeast U1 snRNAs, the latter being much longer (568 nucleotides as compared to 164 nucleotides in human).
Source: Rfam by way of RNAcentral